AGUGCGAUCGGUGGAUGCCUUGGCACCAAGAGCCGAUGAAGGACGUUGUAACCUGCGAUAAGCCCUGGGGAGUUGGUAAACGAGCUGUGAUCCGGGGGUGUCCGAAUGGGGAAACCUGGAAUGUCCGGAGUAGUGUCCGGUGACCCUGCCCUGAAUGUAUAGGGGUGUGGGAGGUAACGCGGGGAAGUGAAACAUCUUAGUACCCGUAGGAAGAGAAAACAACCGUGAUUCCGUGAGUAGUGGCGAGCGAAAGUGGAUGAGGCUAAACCGUGUGUGUGUUCAAGCCGGCAGGUGUUGCAUGUGCGGGGUUGUGGGGGCCUUUUGGUUCUGCUGCCGCAGGAUUGGCCAGUGAUAAAUGUUGCGUGAAGGUGAAGCGUCUGGGAAGGCGUACCGGAGUGGGUGAGAGUCCCGUAACUGUAAGCGUGGCACUGGUGAGGGUUGCCCCAAGUAGCGUGGAACUCGUGGAAUUUCGCGUGAAUCUGGCGGGACCACCCGUCAAGCCUAAAUACUCCUUGGUGACCGAUAGUGGAUUAGUACCGUGAGGGAAUGGUGAAAAGUACCCCGGGAGGGGAGUGAAAUAGUACCUGAAACCGGUCGCAUACAAGCCGUCAGAGCCUUGUGGGGUGAUGGCGUGCCUUUUGAAGAAUGAGCCUGCGAGUUAGUGAUGCGUGGCGAGGUUAACCUGUGUGGGGGAGUCGUAGCGAAAGCGAGUCUGAUAAGGGCGUGAGUCGCGUGUUCUAGACCCGAAGCGGUGUGAUCUAUCCAUGGCCAGGAUGAAGCGUCGGUAAGACGUCGUGGAGGUCCGAACCCACUUCAGUUGAAAAUGGAGGGGAUGAGCUGUGGAUAGGGGUGAAAGGCCAAUCAAACACCGUGAUAGCUGGUUCUCCCCGAAAUGCAUUUAGGUGCAGCGUUGCGUGGUUCUUGUCGGAGGUAGAGCACUGGAUGGUCUAGGGGGCCUAUCAGCUUACCGAAAUCAGCCAAACUCCGAAUGCCGGCAAGUGGAGCGUGGCAGUGAGACGGCGGGGGAUAAGCUUCGUCGUCGAGAGGGAAACAGCCCAGAUCAUCAGCUAAGGCCCCUAAGUGGUAGCUCAGUGGAAAAGGAUGUGGAGUUGCGCAGACAGCCAGGAGGUUGGCUUGGAAGCAGCCAUCCUUGAAAGAGUGCGUAAUAGCUCACUGGUCAAGUGAUUCCGCGCCGACAAUGUAGCGGGGCUUAAGUUAUCCGCCGAAGCUGUGGCAAACCCGUUUUGCGGGUUUGGGUAGGGGAGCGUCCUGUGUGAGGUGAAGCUGCCGGGUGACCGUGUGGUGGAUUGUGCGGGAGUGAGAAUGCAGGCAUGAGUAGCGAAUGACGGGUGAAAAACCCGUCCGCCGAUUAUCCAAGGGUUCCAGGGUCAAGUUAAUCUGCCCUGGGUGAGUCGGGGCCUAAGGCGAGGCCGACAGGCGUAGUCGAUGGAUAACCAGUUGAUAUUCUGGUACCGGCUUGUCACCGUCCGUGUCGAGGUGUGUGAUGCUAAGCGUGCGAGCCUGCCAUUGUGAUGUCUUUGAUGUUGUGGUGGUGUGGUGAGUGUGUGAACCGAUCAUGUAGUAGGCAAGCUGCGGAGGGACGCAGGGAGGUAGCUCAUCCCCGGCGAUGGUUGUCCGGGGCUAAAUGUGUGGACCGUCUGGUAGGUAAAUCCGCUGGGCAUAUGGUUGAGGCAUGAUGGCGAGCCCACGUGUGUGGGUGAGUGAGUGAUCCUGUACUGUCGAGAAAAUCUUCGUGAGCGAGGUGGCUGGUCCGCCCGUACCCUAAACCGACACUGGUGGAUAGGUAGAGUAUACCGAGGCGAUCGAGAUCAUCAUGGUGAAGGAACUCGGCAAAAUGCCCCCGUAACUUCGGGAUAAGGGGGACCUGAACUGUCAAGGCCUGUACGGCUGGUAGCAGUGAGGGGCGCAGAGACCAGGGGGAAACGACUGUUUACCAAAAACACAGGUCCGUGCGAAGUCGUAAGACGAUGUAUACGGACUGACUCCUGCCCGGUGCUGGAAGGUUAAGGGGAACUGUUAGCGUUGGCGAAGCGGUGAACUUAAGCCCCAGUAAACGGCGGUGGUAACUAUAACCAUCCUAAGGUAGCGAAAUUCCUUGUCGGGUAAGUUCCGACCUGCACGAAUGGAGUAACGAUUUCCCUACUGUCUCCACCAUGAACUCGGUGAAAUUGCAGUACGAGUAAAGAUGCUCGUUACGCGCAGCAGGACGGAAAGACCCCGGGACCUUUACUAUAGUUUGGUAUUGGUGAUUGGGACGACUUGUGUAGGAUAGGUGGGAGACUGUGAAGUGGCCACGCUAGUGGUUGUGGAGUCAUUGUUGAAAUACCACUCUGGUCGUUCUGGUUAUCUAACUUUGGGCCGUGAUCCGGUUCAGGGACAGUGCCUGAUGGGUAGUUUGACUGGGGCGGUCGCCUCCUAAAAGGUAACGGAGGCGCCCAAAGGUUCCC
RNAcentral lists this ribosomal RNA (2468 nucleotides) under human gut metagenome. RNAcentral describes it as "bacterial LSU rRNA". It matches the Rfam family "Bacterial large subunit ribosomal RNA", at positions 14 to 2321 of the family's 2925-position model. The record is from RNAcentral.